Molecule: ribosomal RNA, 340 nt
Filed under: uncultured Anoxybacillus sp.
Lineage: Bacteria; Bacillati; Bacillota; Bacilli; Caryophanales; Anoxybacillaceae
Description: bacterial SSU rRNA
Rfam family: Bacterial small subunit ribosomal RNA
Source: RNAcentral
GGUGCAUGGUUGUCGUCAGCUCGUGUCGUGAGAUGUUGGGUUAAGUCCGCAACGAGCGCAACCCUCGACCUUAGUUGCCAGCAUUCAGUUGGGCACUCUAAGGUGACUGCCGGCUAAAAGUCGGAGGAAGGUGGGGAUGACGUCAAAUCAUCAUGCCCCUUAUGACCUGGGCUACACACGUGCUACAAUGGGCGGUACAAAGGGUCGCGAACCCGCGAGGGGGAGCCAAUCCCAAAAAGCCGCUCUCAGUUCGGAUUGCAGGCUGCAACUCGCCUGCAUGAAGCCGGAAUCGCUAGUAAUCGCGGAUCAGCAUGCCGCGGUGAAUACGUUCCCGGGCCUU